RNAcentral lists this ribosomal RNA (330 nucleotides) under uncultured bacterium. Its description in RNAcentral is "bacterial SSU rRNA". It matches the Rfam family "Bacterial small subunit ribosomal RNA", at positions 568 to 898 of the family's 1533-position model. The record is from RNAcentral.
UGUGUAGGCGGUUCUCCAAGUUUGGUGUGAAAUCUCCCGGCUCAACCGGGAGGGUGCGCCGAAAACUGGAGGGCUGGAGUGCGGGAGGGGAGAGUGGAAUUCCUGGUGUAGCGGUGAAAUGCGUAGAUAUCAGGAGGAACACCGGUGGUGUAGACGGCUCUCUGGACCGUAACUGACGCUGAGACACGAAAGCGUGGGUAGCAAACAGGAUUAGAUACCCUGGUAGUCCACGCCCUAAACGAUGCAUAUUUGGUGUGGGUCAUUCAGUUGAUCCGUGCCGGAGCUAACGCGUUAAAUAUGCCGCCUGGGGAGUACAGUCGCAAGGCUGAA